UGGUUGAUAGCUCAGUUGGUUAGAGCAACCGCCUGUUAAGCGGUGGGUCGUGGGUUCGAGUCCCACUCUUCCAG
Molecule: transfer RNA, 74 nt
Filed under: Caudoviricetes sp.
Lineage: Duplodnaviria; Heunggongvirae; Uroviricota; Caudoviricetes
Description: tRNA-Asn
Rfam family: tRNA
About the family: Transfer RNA (tRNA) molecules are approximately 80 nucleotides in length. Their secondary structure includes four short double-helical elements and three loops (D, anti-codon, and T loops).
Source: RNAcentral